RNA transcript from Trifolium pratense (red clover), 3504 nucleotides. RefSeq lists it as uncharacterized. The transcript is spliced from 6 exons. Lineage: Eukaryota; Viridiplantae; Streptophyta; Magnoliopsida; Fabales; Fabaceae. The record is from RefSeq and is a predicted model, not a curated record.
AUUAUGACAAAGCAAAAAUUCAAAUAUUUGAAUUUUCCCACCACAAAACACAAUUAAACCCAAACCAAAUACCCAAUAAGCAUAAAUCCAGUUCGGUAAAAAAAAUCGAGUCAGCUCCUUAUACACAGAAUCCCCAUACAACACUGUUGCUAAAUUGUGGAUGAAGACUGUGUUGUCAUCUCACAGGUUCUAUCAAUCUUAUUUUGCUUUUCCUAGCUGGUUGGUUCUGCUCAAGGUUCAUCAGAGGGAAUAGAUCGCUUUCAGGCUUCGAAGGACCGUCUGUCUUUCGGAUAAGUCCAUGGGGGUUCACCUAUCAUGACAUUACUACUGUCUUCUGUUUUUUGCAUAGUCUAGGAUUGAAAUGAGUUUUAUUAUUAUUCUUUUCCUUUGUGCGAUCCCCCGGUUGUAUCCCAAACUCUUGAUCCGUUGCUGCGGAGCUGCAGUUGAAGUUUUAUUCGUUGCGUAUUUUCUGUGAGCUCUGGUGUCAAGGCCGGGAUCCUGAGUCAGUCGCGCUAAUUAACUCAUUCUCAGUCUUAGGAAAUAGCAAUGGUCAUCAGAAUUUGGUUACAUGUGAACUGCAGAGUGUAUUAAGUACCAUCUGUUUUAGUGUUUCAUCUACUAAGGCUCAGCUAGUAGUGGUGCUGUUUGUAACAGCUUUAGACAAGAGUUCAUUCCAUCCGUGUGGAGCUGAAAUUUUAAGCACUAUCAAUUGAGGCGUGUUUUAGUACAAUGGAAUGGCUAUUAUAAGUGUUGCUAUUUGGAAUUGUUGUUAUUUGUGGUGUUAUUAAAUUUUAGAUACCAGGGAUUGGCAUUUUGUAGUGUUGGCAUUGGUUGUGCUAAGCUACCAGUCUUGGUGUGUGGUGCUUUGCUAACCUUAUGUAAUGUUGUUAGAACUUGUUGUAUUUGCCCUUUAGUACAUCUUGUAAUUGGGGAUUUUGGUUUUUUAAUAUAUGCUUUCUUUGCCUGUUCAAUUUUUUUUUAUUAUGUACUAAUUGAAAGAUAGCUUAAAUUGCCAAAAGUAUGUUGAUGUUGUAACAGAAAAAGGUAAGAAUUUAUUAUGUAUUGUAACAGCUCAAGAGUUAAGAAAGAUAUAAAUUUUUGUUAGUAUCUAGGCAAAUAUUUUAAUGUGUAGCCAAAAAUCAAUAAGUUAAGAAACCUAGGAGUAUGUGUAGUUUUCUGAAAAUCAUGUUAGAACAUUGAUAUUAAGAGCAUAGGAAUACAUGAGAUGGGCUAGAGAAGAAAUAUGAUGCUUAGAUAUUCAAGUGCUUAUGUGUUUAAUCAAGGAACCAAAUUAACUUUGUUAUUAAGGCUUGCCUUUGACAUUUUAGGUCAUCAAUAUAGAGACAUGUAGGCUCAAAUUUUGUACUUUUAUUAUUGAGUUUCUUUCUUUUUUGAAAUCUCAAAUUUUCUUCAUUCGCAUUUGUUUCAGAACUAGAGUUGAUUCAAAAUUGUCUCACAAAGAUAGAAGAUAAUUUGAUCCCUUUCUACCUUGUUCAUGUUUGUGAAGAUAAUUUACCACUUAUGCCUAAAUCUGCCACUUAAUAUUCCAUCUUCUUUAAUUGGCUCAAUAUCUUAUAUUUAAUCCAAUGUAAGGUUAUCUGUUUCAUUCUCUUUGUUUGAAUCGUCUUAGUAACAUUAUUGAUUCACAUAAUUUUUCUUUUUAUCCUUCUGCAGUUAAGUAUGAUCUUCUUUUAAAUAUGGGACUGUAAUCGGAAAUCUGAUGUGGCCAUGGAGAUGUUCAGUGAUGCAACUUUCAUGAAUAUUGGCGGCUUAUCGAAAGUGUGCUUUCAUGAAUAUUUAUAAUUCAUCUUCUCCCUGUGCAUUUCACUGAACGUCUCUGUUGGUCUAUUGAUAUUAUUUUUCGGGAAUAAAUAAUGAAUGAGGAAAUAGUCAUUUUAGUCUUUAAAAUAGAUUUUUCCUCGUGCGUACGCAAGGGUACUCUGACUAGUUGGUUACAGUUCAGCAGCCCGGUCGAGUAGAGUUCAUUGCCAGUAUCAUGAGCCCAACAACCCGCUCUAAUUUACCCGGAUUAGCUUCAAUUUUGCAACCACAGGUAUCUAACACAGGGAAGGCCACAACUCUUGGCAGUUGGCAAGGAUAUAGGAAGGAGUAGUCACAGAGACCACAUAUUUACCAAUACUGAGUUCAUCUACUGGAUCUACUUUCAACACACAUUCCCUUCCAGAGCCAAAAUUAAGUCAAUAUCGUGGAACUUUGUCCUCGUUUGGUGCACGAAAUCAAAUGGUUCUUCAGUGGAAACCUUGAAUCAAUGCUCCACAGUUUCUAUGGGGAAGUCCAAACUUAUCUUCAGCGCAAACCAAAGCACCGGUUUGGCAAAGACCAUCCAUGGGACAUCACCUUAAAACGAGCCAUGCUUUCCCAUACUCAACUCAAAGGAAUUCCAUUGUCAGUUCGUCCCAGCGGCAUCACCAUCAUCACAUUGGUUCGUCUCUAUCAGGUUUGCCUUUUGAGAGCCACUUCGGUUUUUUCCCCAAGUCAUCUGAAACUUCACUGAUGAAUAAUUUUGGCUAUAGUGGAAUGAGUCUCGAGUACAAUGAUGGAAAUUACAUGCUUAAUGCUGGCGUUUCUGGUAAUGUCGGUGUUUCUAUUCCAAUAAAUAUGCCUGAUAAUUGUUCAUCAAACUUCAUCAUGAGAUCUUCUCUAUACUUAGCCCUGUGUUUCUAAGUAAUGGUCCUUAUCCAGGACUUCUACCUACUACUAUGGAGAGUUUAUCUGACCGUGUUAGGAGUAGAAGGAUCGAUAACAAUGGCAGCCAGGAUGACAGCAAGAAGCUAUUUCAGCUCGACUUGGAUAAGAUCAAAGUGGUGAAGAUAUGACGACUACAUUGAUGAUAAAGAAUAUCGCAAAUAACUGCUAUCGAUGAAUAUCACAAGGGCACCUAUGAUUUUCUCUAUAUACCAAUUGACUUUAAGAAUAAAUGCAAUGCAAUGUCGGUUAUGCAUUUAUCAGCAUGCUGUCACCCUCACUUCUCUUUCCAUUCUUCCGAGGUCGUAGUCAUACAAGAGAAUGACCCUUCCAACUACAUUAAUAUUCAGGCAGUUAAGUCAAGUGAGUUACAAUUCAGCGAUUCACUCGUAUUCCCUACAAAGGGCGGUUUUCCUGUGAAUUUGGAUGCAAAUUAACAUUAUAUGAAUGAUGUACAGUUGCUAACAGAUGUAGACUUUAUAUCAUAAAGUGUACAAAAAGGAAAAUAUCAUGUCACUGUCAAUAACUUUAAAGACAACAAUUGAAAAAGGAAAAAUAUGGUCAAGCUACAAAUGUAUUUAAAAUCCAUAUAUUGAUUGGGAAAAGAUAUCCAAAGCUGCACAUUGUUGUUCAAUUUCAGAUGAAAAGGAAAUAGAUUGGGAAAACACAUGAGAUUGCCUUAGCCAAUUCACAAUACCAUCACCAACAUCAUCAUCAUCUAGCUUAUUAGCAGCCCAGUCAUCCAAAUCCACAAGUUGACUAGCCCAGUCCUGAUCAGAUUUAUCCAUUAGAUCAUCU